GACGAACGCUGGCGGCGUGCUUAACACAUGCAAGUCGAACGGAAAGGCCCUGCUUUUGUGGGGUGCUCGAGUGGCGAACGGGUGAGUAACACGUGAGUAACCUGCCCUUGACUUUGGGAUAACUUCAGGAAACUGGGGCUAAUACCGGAUAGGAGCUCCUGCUGCAUGGUGGGGGUUGGAAAGUUUCGGCGGUUGGGGAUGGACUCGCGGCUUAUCAGCUUGUUGGUGGGGUAGUGGCUUACCAAGGCUUUGACGGGUAGCCGGCCUGAGAGGGUGACCGGCCACAAUGGGACUGAGAGACGGCCCAGACUCCUACGGGAGGCAGCAGUGGGGAAUAUUGCACAAUGGGCGGAAGCCUGAGGCAGCAACGCCGCGUGCGGGAUGACGGCCUUCGGGUUGUAAACCGCUUUCGCCUGUGACGAAGCGUGAGUGACGGUAAUGGGUAAAGAAGCACCGGCUAACUACGUG
RNAcentral lists this ribosomal RNA (468 nucleotides) under uncultured bacterium. RNAcentral describes it as "partial 16S ribosomal RNA". It matches the Rfam family "Bacterial small subunit ribosomal RNA", at positions 28 to 507 of the family's 1533-position model. The record is from RNAcentral.